UAAGGAAUAUUGGACAAUGGGGGCAACCCUGAUCCAGCCAUGCCGCGUGAAGGAUGAAGGCCUAUGGGUCGUAAACUUCUUUUAUAAGGGAAAUGGUACGGAUUAAUACUCUGUGGUCUUGAUUUAACCCAAAGAAAAAGCACCGGCUAACUCU
RNAcentral lists this ribosomal RNA (154 nucleotides) under uncultured bacterium. RNAcentral describes it as "partial 16S ribosomal RNA". It matches the Rfam family "Bacterial small subunit ribosomal RNA", at positions 355 to 504 of the family's 1533-position model. The record is from RNAcentral.